This is a long non-coding RNA of Osmia bicornis bicornis, 2726 nucleotides long. RefSeq lists it as uncharacterized. Lineage: Eukaryota; Metazoa; Arthropoda; Insecta; Hymenoptera; Megachilidae. The transcript has 13 exons. The record is from RefSeq and is a predicted model, not a curated record.
ACAAGUCCCUUUGCAGAUAACUUGAAUUGAUCAAAAUAUUUGUAGCGCAAUCGCUCGUGACCCGGUAUGUCAACGAUUUUCAAGGAAUGCUGAAUACAUGAACAAAUGUGUUUAAGUAUGUAAUGAUGUGUGUGUUUUAAUAAAUUUGGAACACAGCAGACGUGCAUAUAUCAGUGUUUUACCAGCAUCACUGAGGCCAGUUAAGAGUAUAUUGUUUCCUAUAGACCUUCUCCUUCGCCAUAUGGCAAACAAAACUGAACAAAGAAAUAAAAUAGCAGAUUAUAAACAAUAUAGUAAUGCCUACAUCUGAACCAUUAGUACCAAGAAAAUGAUUCCACAGACUUAAAUGUAUGAAUAUUAAAUUUACAAUCUAAAGAAAUUUUCAUACAAUAAUGAAUCUAUUUUUGUAUUACAUAUAUAAUCACAGAAGUAUGUUUAUCACAUUUUUGGUAACAUCUGUUGUGUUUUUUAGGACUGUUUGUACUGUAGCAGAUAUUAUCACAUUCAUUAAUCUUAAAUAAAGACAAAACAUGAUGUAUGUGAGAGUUUACAAAUGAUGAGUAUAUAUGAGAUGGAGUAUGAAUGAGACGAUGUCUAUAUCUUUCAUGCUGUGUGUGAUAUACAAAUGCGUAGUAGCUAAACAUAUUUUUAGUUCUGCUAAGUGUAUUAUUGUGAAGUGUAAUGAAGUGUUUAAUACAUGAAAUCACUGGACUUGGACAUGGGUACAACAACCAUAAUUUUGGGAAAAUUGAGGAGGAGCCUGGAGAGAUCCUGAGGAGAAUCUGAGGAGAUCCUGAGGACAGCCUCACAUUGGACCCCUUCUUUGCACGCGAAAGGAAAGUUGACGAACCUCAAAGACCAGUGCUUCUCAUGAAAUCCUCCAGCCAAAGAAUCACAGCCCACUUGCUCUUCGUUUCAAGGUUGCUGGAACGAGGAGACACGUCGGUUCAAGGAGGAGAUUAAAAGCAACGCUUCCACCGUCAUUUUUCAAACUGGUCGGGUAAGGUCAGAACGAAAAAAUUGCCGGACACCAUUUUUCAGGAGCGGACAAACGUUUUGAACCGGCAAGUCACGGUAUGAUCGUGUUUACGGUGGGCAAGGAGAAAGUGCAUUAAGAUGGAAAAUAAUAGCAACAGCCUACGAGAAUAUUACUCAGGAUUAACUGGAUCGUUUUAGACAUCCCCCUGGUCUACUUUCACCUGCAGGCUUGGUCUGUGUAAUUAUCCAAGGAUUCCGUACAAUGAGCACUGCAGAGGAGGAGAAAGGCGGUUGAAGCAGGAGCAGAGAGCGGUGUCGGUAGCCGCAAGAAAGGGAAGAGACUGUAUAUACACGGUUUCAGGAGCAAAAGAAAAGGAGACUGGGCACAGCUGCGGUCUCUGACACGUUGCUCGUGCCACGAACGAAGCGCAAUCGUAUGCACACACGCCCUGGCGUGAUUGUUCCGAGAACGGGAGCCUGAAGAAUGGAAAGAAACGAGCAUCGAGGAUGGAGGAACUCGAACGAACCCGGAGACGCGUGAUGGACGUGUCUGCAUCGCCGCGACAAACGGCCGAACCAACCUUAUGCCCCACGUCAGUUCGAGAGUUCUCGAUGCUCAUUCACCGACCGAACAUCAUACGUCUUUCGGUCGUACUGUUAGACUAGGACAACCCUGUUCCUCGUGUACGACGCUUAAUGGAGACCGGGGCGUAAUCGAUCAUCCGACCACCGAUCAAGGUGCAGCCACGUAGCCGUGGUGGUUGCGACGAGGUUGGACGAUUGAGAUACUCGGGGAAGCGGUGUUAAUGGGGAUUAAAUUGGAGUACGUCUGAUUGGGAGGAGGGACAUUGCGAGUGUUGCCAGUACAUUUCACCGGCAAUCUCUUGGAAAGUCCCGAUUACAGACACCCACCACCAUAAAAAGCAUCCUUCGAACACAUUGUCCGCGGUCCGUCACGCUCGUUUCGUCACGGUCCACGGGAAGCUUGCCGAUCGAUUUCCCGAAAAUUACAACAUUUGUCUCCCCUAUAAAGCAGAGGCGGUGAAGAAAACAGGUACUGUACCGCCAGAGAUUUACGUAACGACUCGUACAUGCGUGUCAGCUCUCCCGUUGCAGAUCCGGACGCGUUGCUCGUGCUUUCGGGCACCUGCUAGUUGGGCCGUGACCUCUUCAACGUAGCCCCCGGCAAGGGGACACGAGGAAAAGUAGAGCCACGAAUGUGAAACAAGAAGAGGUCCAAGAAAACGAGCGCCUGUCGCUGAUUGACGAGGAACCGAGUCACCGAGAUACAGCCCGGAGAGCAAUAAAGCACGUGCGAGAGAACGAUCUCCGGAGCUGAACACCUGCCUGUCCUCUUCGUGGCCUCCGGUUCGAACACUCGACGAGAGGGUGUACGUUGGUACCCCGUAUAACAACCAUGAAUUUCAACGAACGACUGAAAAUUGCGGAGCCGAAGAGAAAGAUAGCCAGUCGCUAAUUGCGAAAUGAGACGACGAAGUGAUUGCGAGACUGAAUCGAAGGUUUCUUUCGGUCUGCUUGAAAAAAUACAACCAUGGAGAUAAUUAUAAGGCAACUGGUUGGAACUUGCAGAGAAUAUGUUGAGGAUGAAACUCUGAAAUUACUUCGCAGGAUGAGCUUGAUGGAAAAGUUGAAACACCAAAGGCGUGUCGCGAAUUUUUGAAGGAGCUAGUGGAACUUUGUAAAAAGUAACGAAGCGAGAAAUAAAGUUUAAUCAUUUUCAGUUGAAA